UACGGGGGGGGCAAGCGUUGUUCGGAAUUACUGGGCGUAAAGGGCGUGUAGGCGGCCAACUAAGUCCGACGUGAAAUCCCCAGGCUCAACCUGGGAACUGCGUCUGAUACUGGAUGGCUUGAAUCCGGGAGAGGGAUGCAGAAUUCCAGGUGUAGCGAUGAAAUGCGUAGAUAUCUGGAGGAACACCGGUGGCGAAGGCGGCAUCCUGGACCGGUAUUGACGCUGAGGAGCGAAAGCCAGGGGAGCAAACGGG
This 253-nucleotide ribosomal RNA is filed under the name uncultured bacterium. Its description in RNAcentral is "partial 16S ribosomal RNA". It matches the Rfam family "Bacterial small subunit ribosomal RNA", at positions 524 to 776 of the family's 1533-position model. The record is from RNAcentral.